GGAGGCCCCGGGAAGGAAGUGGAGGAGCUCCGGGGGAAGAGGAAUGGGGCGGUGGGGCGAGAAGAAAUAGCGCCAUGGGAGGAGAAAAGAGGGGAGCUCGUGGGGCGCAAAAAAGUGUGGACCCUGGAGAACGUGCGGGGGAGAGUGAAGGAGCGUUUCUCCCACGGGUCGUCGCCAUCGCCAGUCAUCGAGCACCACCCACCGGUGGUGGCCACUGGCCAGCGAAGCCAUGACGUUAUCCCCUCACACACUCCGCCCGCCCCUCCCCCUCUCGCUCCCGCUCCCGCCAACUUCAAACCGCCGCCCGCCGCCCCGGCCCCUCCACCCGUCGCUCGCGCGCCGCCGCAGAAGCGUCCUCCUCCCCAAGCCGCCGCGCGCGGGCGCGGGCGCCGGGGACGGCAUGGCGACGCACGGGGCGCACCCCACGCUGCUCGAGCACAUGGGCCGGGCCGGCGCGCCCGCCGACCUCGCCGUCCUCGUCGCCCACAUCCAGGCCGCCUGCAAGCGCAUCGCCGCGCUCGUCGCGUCCCCCGGCAACGCCGACCUGUCGCGGGCCAAGCCGGCCGCUGCCGGUGCUGCAUCCGCGGCCGGCCGCGACGCGCCCAAGCCGCUCGACGAAUUGUCGAACGAGAUCAUCCUGUCGUCACUCCAAAGCUCUGGAAAAGUUGCGGUGGUGGCUUCCGAAGAAAAUGAUCUCCCCGUGUGGAUGUGCGACGACGGUCCCUACGUUGUUGUCACAGACCCGCUUGAUGGUUCUCGCAACAUCGAGGUGUCGAUCCCCACUGGAACGAUAUUCGGGAUCUACGAUAGGCUGGUGGAACUCGACCAGCUCCCUGUGGAGGAGAAAGCUCAGCUUAAUUCACUGCAGAGCGGUUCUCGCUUGGUCGCUGCUGGAUAUGUCCUGUAUUCAUCUGCUACCAUCUUCUGCAUCAGUUUUGGUGCGGGAACCCAUGGCUUCACUUUGGAUAGAUCAACAGGAGAAUUUGUUCUGACACAUCCAUCCAUGCAAAUACCCCCUAGAGGACAGAUAUAUUCAGUGAAUGAUGCGCGGUACUUCGACUGGCCAGAGGGCCUGAAGAAGUACAUUGACACGAUCAGACAAGGCAAGGGGCAGCAUCCCAAGAAGUACUCGGCUCGGUAUGUGUGCUCACUGGUUGCUGAUUUUCAUCGGACGAUCAUAUACGGUGGAGUUGCAAUGAACCCGAGGGAUCACCUUCGGUUGGUUUACGAGGCAAAUCCUCUCAGUUUCCUUGCCGAGCAGGCAGGGGGGCGAGGCUCGGAUGGCAAAACCAGAAUCCUCUCCAUUCAGCCUGUGAAGCUGCACCAGAGGCUGCCAUUGUUCCUGGGGAGCAUGGAGGACAUGCUUGAGCUAGAAAGCUAUGGGGAUGUCCAGCAGAAGGUCAAUCCUGGAUACGAUGUUUAAGGUGAAAUAUUCAGGUAACCAAUGUAUAUGGUAAAGUCUGUAUUUGCAAGAACAAUGUCUCUGUGUCUUACUUCCUUUGCCUUCUUGCCUAUGCAAUUGCAGAGUACUGCAUAGCGGAAGUCCGCAGAAUUUGCCGUAGCUCACUGUGAAAAUGAAAGAUGCAAUAUGUCUCAUCUUUUUGUAGUUCCA
RNAcentral lists this ribosomal RNA (1612 nucleotides) under Triticum aestivum (bread wheat). RNAcentral describes it as "partial small subunit ribosomal RNA". The record is from RNAcentral. Lineage: Eukaryota; Viridiplantae; Streptophyta; Magnoliopsida; Poales; Poaceae.